GUACCCCCAAAAUUUAAAUUUCCAAUAAACAACAGAUAAUUUGUUAGUAUAAGUAUGUUUUGUGCAAUCUUUGGGACAUACUUAUGCUAACAAAUGAUCUCUUAUUUAUCUGAAAUUCAAAUUUGACCGGACAUCCUGUAUUUU
RNAcentral lists this microRNA precursor (144 nucleotides) under Vicugna pacos (alpaca). Its description in RNAcentral is "miRNA (ENSVPAG00000016337.1)". Lineage: Eukaryota; Metazoa; Chordata; Mammalia; Artiodactyla; Camelidae. The record is from RNAcentral.